This 509-nucleotide ribosomal RNA is filed under the name Barretthydrus geminatus. RNAcentral's name for it is "partial 16S ribosomal RNA". The stretch from base 383 to 509 matches the Rfam family "Bacterial large subunit ribosomal RNA", at positions 2473 to 2600 of the family's 2925-position model. Lineage: Eukaryota; Metazoa; Arthropoda; Insecta; Coleoptera; Dytiscidae. The record is from RNAcentral.
GUCCUUUAGAUUUAGAAUUUAAGGUUUAAUCUGCCCACUGAUUAAUUAAAUGGCCGCAGUAAUUUGACUGUGCAAAGGUAGCAUAAUCAAUAGUUUUUUAAUUAAAAGCUUGAAUGAAUGAUUGGACGAGAUAAAAUCUGUCUUUAAUUAAUAAUUAGAAUUUAAUUUUUAAGUUAAAAAGCUUAAAUAUUUAUAAAAGACGAGAAGACCCUAUAGAUCUUUAUUUAAUUAAUUUUAUUUUUAAUAAGGAUUAUUUUAUUAAUUAAUUUUAAUUAAAUUUUAUUGGGGUAAUAAAAAGAUAAAAAUAAUUCUUUUAUUAAUUUACAAAGAUUAUUGAUUAUAUGAUCCUUAAAUUAAGAUUAAAAGAUUAAGUUACCUUAGGGAUAACAGCGUAAUUUUUUUAGAGAGUUCAUAUCGAUAAAAAAGUUUGCGACCUCGAUGUUGGAUUAAAAAUUAUUUUAGGUGAAGAAGUUUAGAAAUUUGGUCUGUUCGACCAUUAAAUUUUUACA